Melanotaenia boesemani (Boeseman's rainbowfish) is the source of this 180-nucleotide long non-coding RNA. RefSeq lists it as uncharacterized. The record is from RefSeq and is a predicted model, not a curated record. Lineage: Eukaryota; Metazoa; Chordata; Actinopteri; Atheriniformes; Melanotaeniidae. The transcript has 3 exons.
GUACAGGUUUACGCUCGUACAGGUUUACACUCGUACAGGUCCGCGUUUACACUCGUACAGGUUUACACCUGUACAGGUUUACACUCGUACAGGUUUACUCUCGUACAGGUUUACACUCAUACAGGUCCGCGUUUACACUCGUACAGGUUUACACCUGUACAGGUUUACACUCGUACAGGU